Molecule: unclassified non-coding RNA, 1807 nt
Filed under: Centruroides sculpturatus (bark scorpion)
Lineage: Eukaryota; Metazoa; Arthropoda; Arachnida; Scorpiones; Buthidae
Description: nAD kinase-like, transcript variant X10
Source: RNAcentral
UAUUAACGAAAGUUACAAAAGAAUUAUAUUUUGUUGGCAAAAAUUUUCUGUUCUGAGAAGCAAUAUGGCGACCGAUAUUGAUUGGUUGGGGACGAGUUUUUAUUGAAUCGAUUACGUCACGCCGUGAAUAGCCGAAAAUUGAAAACAUUUGCGACAUUAAAUGUGUAAGUGGUGCAUUCAGCUUGAGAUGAAUGUUGGUCGAUGAGUAUUGAUGCUAGGAUGUGUUCCAAUCUGUUCGAAUCGACCGAUUCAGUUUUUUGUAAGAACCCUCAAAGUAUACAAUUGAACGAAAGCAAUUUGACUCAAGAACAGAAAGUUCACAGUCGUUUCGAGAAAAUGCGAACGAGAUCUUUGAAUGCUCCUAGCCCUAUCUAUCACUUCGGACCAUGUGGCCGUAUUAUGAAAAAUUCAGCCAUGGUGAUGACCAUUCAAGAUCCUGCCAGUCAACGACUGACGUGGAACAAACCACCUCUUACUGUUCUAGUGAUUAAGAAAGUCCAUGACACAUCAGUUAUUCAACCAUUUAUUGAUUUAGUAAAAUGGCUCUUAUAUGAAAAACAUAUGGUUGUAUUUGUUGAAGCUUCUGUUCUUGAAGAUGUUCAUCUUCUUAGUAACCAAAUGUUCAUCCCUAUUAAGGAUAAAUUAUCAACUUUCAAAGAAGGUACUGAUGAUCUCACAGACAAAAUUGAUUUCAUUAUAUGUCUUGGAGGAGAUGGAACACUUUUAUAUGCUUCUUCUUUAUUUCAGCAAAGUGUUCCUCCUGUCAUGGCUUUCCAUUUGGGUUCUUUAGGUUUCUUAACUCCUUUUGAAUUUGAUAAUUUUCAAGAGCAAGUCACUAAUGUGUUAGAAGGACAUGCUGCCUUAACAUUAAGGAGUCGACUCAGAUGCAUCAUUGUUCGUAAAUCUGAUGGCAGUGAAAAAAGUAAUAAGCCAUUAACAAAUUUUUUGGUGUUAAAUGAAGUAGUAGUUGAUAGAGGACCAUCACCUUACUUAUCCAAUAUUGAUCUCUAUUUAGAUGGAAAACAUAUCACAACAGUACAAGGUGAUGGAUUAAUAGUUUCCACGCCAACUGGCAGCACAGCUUAUGCAGUUGCAGCUGGUGCAUCCAUGAUUCACCCAAGUGUACCUGCUAUCAUGGUUACUCCCAUUUGUCCUCAUUCAUUAUCAUUUAGGCCUAUUGUUGUUCCAGCAGGAGUAGAAUUGAAGAUAAAAUUAAUUCCAUUCAAGCAGGAUUAUGUAAACAUUGCACAUAGAUCCAGUUAUUUCAAAUGUAUUGUAAAGAAUUUGGAUCAGUUUUCUAAUAAUCAUUAAUUUCUCCCAUUAUAACUAUAAAUAUAUCUUUUUUGCAUCCCUAGUAUACAUAAUUCAAUAUAAAUAAAAUGCUGUAAUGUAUUCAAAUAGAAUUAUUUUUUCCCAAUUAGCUUUGGACUUUGAGAAAUGUUGAAAAAUUCAGUAAUAAAUGAUUUAAAAUGAUAAUAAUUUGGCAAAUAUCCUGGGAUUUCAAGAUUCUAAAUAUAUCUAUAUAGCCUGUAUGGGUCAGUCAUUAAAAUCAGGCUCAUAAAACAAACACCUGAAUUACAAAACCAAAAGUGGAAAGUGAAAGUAAUGCAAAAUUUUUAAACAGUCAAAGAUGAACGGAAUUUAAUUUUUUACUAUAGAUCUCGGUUCCCCCAAAGUCAAAUAAUGUGGCAUGGGUAUCGUUUGAUGGUCGUAAACGACAAGCACUCCAUCACGGUGAUAGUUUAAGAGUGACCACUUCUAUAUAUCCUGUUCCUUCCAUAUGUGCUCAGGAUCAGAUCAGCGAUUG